Molecule: long non-coding RNA, 3473 nt
Organism: Passer domesticus (house sparrow)
Lineage: Eukaryota; Metazoa; Chordata; Aves; Passeriformes; Passeridae
Exons: 2
Source: RefSeq, a predicted model, not a curated record
GGUUGGUAGAGCCAUCUGAGUAGGGAAAACAAACACAAGUAGGAGUAAACUGAAGAAAAUUUUUCUUCUUACGUGUCGUCUUUGUGCAUGUUUUCUCUGAGACCAUUUGUUCAUGUGCCUGUAUAGACAGCUGACCUAGAAAACUUGGCCCGAGGACCUGAAACCACUAUUUGUACCACUUGAAACACAGACUCAUCUUGUCAUCAUAGCUAGGAUUAAAGCCUGUUUUCAAAGAUGUGUCCUGCUGAAGUUAAAAGUGUUACACUUCUCGAUGUCUCAACAUACAGUGUUUUCCAUGUGGAUUUGGCUGAACCCAUUCUAUCAGUGAUCACUGUACCUAACAUAUUUACUGUGGAACGAUGACUAGACCACUAAGGAGAAGGGAUACAGUUCAAAGGCUCAGCUGCCAAUUUCUUCAGCUUGUCAGCUCAAUCUGGAUUCCAGCCUGUCCUACAAUUUGAAAGCAAACUCUGCAGUAUAAUAGAAUCUGUAGCUGUAGCAAGCAUAUUUUAUAUUUCAUCACCCAGCUCACUAAAUGGAAAACAAAACCCCAAUGUGUAUAAGACAGAACCUGUCAGGAGUGAGUUUUGUAUUUGAGAUAUUUUUGGAUUUUAAUGUUGAAGCACUGAACUUUCCCCUUGGUAUGGUACCCAGCUAGUUAGGCAUCUAUCUUAUGGUAUUUCUCCAUAGGAGGGUUCCUUACGAGAAGAUAAAAAAGUCACUGAGGUCAAGCUGGACAGUCCUGCAAGACCAUGUAAACAGACCUGCCUACUGGUUUUUGCCAUACCAGUGUGGCUACAGUGGGGAAGGCAUCACCCAGGCUGCCACAGAGGUCUGAGGCACUCAUGACUUGGAAGAGGUUUAGAUAAACUCUUGGAAGAUGUUAGUGGCUGUUCAUAAUGACUUGAAAGCCACCUGCUGCAGAGAGAUCCUGGUGAUGGCUAGAGGCUGAGGGGUAGAGAAGAGACUGUGCCUGGCACUACCUAAAGAUAUGUUUUCAUGGGUCAUCUAUUACUUGGGUUAAUAUCCACUUGUGGCCAAUAAUGAAAGUGGCCAUCCUUUGGUCUAGAUUUAGCUAAGGUGCUGAAAACCAAACACCCAGUGGAGUCUGAGCAGUAUCCUCAAUUCAGGCAUUGACAUUUCGCCGUCCCUUCUUUAAAGGUUCUACACCACUUAUAUAAUGCAUAAUGUUAUGUGCAAGUUGGUAGUUCUCGCCAUCAAGGUGAUACCUUGAUUUCUAUUAUGUUUAAGUGGAUUUUUCUUUUCUGUAAAACUGUAAGCCAGAAACAUGAUUGAAAGGCCAGAGUAAGGUAACAAAUGUUAAUUUUCUUGUAUGGUAUGUUAUAUGCUAUAAGUGAAAGCCAGAAAUCAGAAGCUUUUCAAUUUGACACAUAAUGAUUGCCCUUAGAUAUUGGCCUGCUUUAUUUACAAGAUGUUAAAAAUUACAUUGUGAAUACUCAUAUGAUCAUAAUAAAAUGAUUGCCUGCAGAAGUGUGAAUUCCAUUUAGCCUUUACAAAGGAGCACUUAGUGGGCUUUGUACUGCGUGGGCAUGACCUUAGAAAAGGCCUAUCAUUUGACUAUGAAAACAUGGCUUAGUUCCAGUGCUAACAACAUUGCUCUGCUAAAAUAACUUUGGUGGGCACAACGACCUAUAAUUUUUGUAACACCACUGAAAAAAGUGUUUUCUUUACAGUAGUGUUAAUUUUGUACAGGAUAGAUUUUUUGUAUAUAUUAAUAAUAUUGGUUUGAUUAGCUAUUUUUAACAAAAUUGUGAAUUGUGAACAAGCAUCUUUGGGUGCUUUUUUCAGUGAAGGGUGAAAACACUCAGGUCCCACAUUAGCACUGUUCUGUACUUGAUUCUAUUAUCUCACCAUUUCGGUUUUUAUGUGAAUCUCAACAGAGCAACCAGAGUAAUAUCAGUACUAUACUAUCAGUAAUAUACUAUCAAAUGGUACAAAAAUAUGAUGAUGACGAAAAUAUGACAGUGUGCACUCAGAAUUAUAACCUGAAAAAUGCACCAAUGGAAUAGAAAUUGUUCCUCUGACCCUGUUCCCACUCAGUCUGGUUACAGAGCAAUUGAACUCAGAAUACCUCAGUAGUAAUUCCUGAUUUUCACCAGAGUGAAUAUGGCCCAGGGAAUAAUAUAUUUGCCAUCAGUUCACACUGACUGUUACCUUUUCUUUACUUCAGCUGACGUGUAUGAUAAGACUGACUAUUUUCUAGGCUGUAUCCUCUCACUUAUGUCAUCACUGACGGCAAUAAAAUGAAGACUGUAAAAUACAGCCAUUUCAGCUAAAUUGUGAGCUACGACUGCAUGAGGUUAAGGGCUCAUGACAUGUAUGCAUCCUUGCUGUGAACACUACAGAAGAGGUGUUUUUGUAUCAACUCCAAAGAAUUUGGGUGAGAGCAAGUGCCUUUUUCACUUUUUGGUUCUGUUUGCCUUGACAAAAUUCUGCUAUCCAAAACCCCAAGGGAAAAUAUUUCAACAAAGAGACAGUCUUCAGUGAUUAAACUGUCGUGAAACAGAGAUUAAGUUGGUGGGAUUGACUGGCUCUCACCGUGCCUUGACGCAGCUGUGGCUUGGAUGAGCAGGACUGGUUAUGAGUCAAUCUGACUAGGAUGGGAUCAUGCCAGAGGUCAGGGGAAGAAGCUAGUUACAGAAGCACAGGCAGCUAUUUUCUCCUUCAGGUUUUCUUAUUUUAAUGCUGGUGAUUUGUGACACUUACUGAAUGAAGAAAGUGUCCCCAGCACGUCUUCAUCAUCAUGGACCCUUGUUACUUGGAGUGAUGCUGCUGGGGUCCAUUAGCUCCAACCCUCACCUUCAGCACGGCCAAUGCGAGAAUGUGAAAGAUCUCUUUGCAAGAGACAGUCAAAGCCUGGGGAGCCACCCUGGUUUCCUACACUACUUGAGCAGACAGGCCAGGACCUCAUUUUAAGGGAUUUCUACAUGGCUUCAUUACUGAAGCAACUGGAAAUCAGGGAAAACUGUUGGUAAAGGUGAUGUCUGUCAUUCCAUAUUCUGGCUCCGCCCCAUUUUCCUCUUUGCUCUUUAUUCUAUUCCUCCUGAAGGAACAGUGUGUCAGCCUCAUUAGAUAGUGUCCUUGUGUAAUAGCAAAGAGGCUUCAACUGCUGACUUUGAGACAUGAUGUUCUGUUGAAAAGUGAGGGAAGUGUAUUAUGGAGAUAAAUUUUUGUCUCAGUUCACUAAACUACAUGAUUUGUUGACCAGCAAAUGAUGUCAUGAAGCCUGUUGAUUCCCCCUAAGGGGCACAAUAUGCAAGAAGGUACUGGUGCCUUGUUCUCUUACAUGGGUUUGAAAGGAUCUGGAAAGACUGUUGCAUACUGACAUGAAGAGACUGCUUUGAACACAAACAUGUAUCACAGAAAAGUUUAAAGAAAUGUCAAAGUUCUGAACUAAUAAAGUAAAACUGGAAUGACGUGCAUAUCAAUAAAGGCAAGAAAUGAUGUCCAUA